This 444-nucleotide ribosomal RNA is filed under the name uncultured bacterium. Its description in RNAcentral is "partial 16S ribosomal RNA". It matches the Rfam family "Bacterial small subunit ribosomal RNA", at positions 354 to 796 of the family's 1533-position model. The record is from RNAcentral.
GUAAGGAAUAUUGGACAAUGGACGCAAGUCUGAUCCAGCCAUGCCGCGUGCAGGAAGACGGCCCUCUGGGUUGUAAACUGCUUUUAUCUGGGAAGAAAAAGGCCAUGCGUGGCAAAUUGCCGGUACCAGAUGAAUAAGCACCGGCUAACUCCGUGCCAGCAGCCGCGGUAAUACGGAGGGUGCGAGCGUUGUCCGGAUUUAUUGGGUUUAAAGGGUGCGUAGGCGGCUGAUUAAGUCAGCGGUGAAAGACUUCGGCUUAACCGGAGCAGUGCCGUUGAUACUGGUUGGCUUGAGUGUCGGAGGGGUACAUGGAAUUGAUGGUGUAGCGGUGAAAUGCAUAGAUACCAUCAGGAACACCGAUAGCGAAGGCAUUGUACUGGCCGACAACUGACGCUGAUGCACGAAAGUGUGGGGAUCGAACAGGAUUAGAAACCCCUGUAGUCC